UGCGGAUGUGUUUCCUGUUCGAGGAUCCAGCGCGAGCGGGGGUUCUGAAAAUCGGUCGUUGAAAACGGGAGAGAAUAGGAAAAAGACGAAAUAAUUGGAAAUUAUCGGGGUCAUGGACACGUGAGCACCCGGUUAUAAUUUCACUCGUGGCGGACCGGUGUGCACGGUGCUGAGCCCUGGAGUGGAGACCGGGUCUCGGAUAGUGCAGUGACUCCCGUGGGCCUUACGGCAACAUCCGGGCUACGCCCCGCCUGAGCCGCAUGGUAAUGGCCCCUAACCCAAGGAAGCAUGAAUAGUAAUCAAUAGUAAAAAAUACACCUGACGAAACGAAACGAACCGAACCGCUCCAUCGAUGAAAACAAUCCGACCGCAUCGUUAAAGUUGGAAAAUAAUGCAGUUCGUCGGUCGAAUACAAUUGAGCACAAGUUCACGCAGCGAAAUAUUUGUUUCUAAAGUUAGGACGCGGAGGUUAGAUAGUUUUUCUCGCAUCGUUUUAAAGAACUAAAUACUAUGAUUACUCGGAAUACGUCUCUACGGUUUUUUAACGGUACGAAGUGCUAACCCUCAGCAGUCAUCCGGUGUUCAAAAUUGGAUUUUCAUCCCUUAUUGCCUCGAAGACGGAGGAUAUUGUUCAGAGCAGCCAUGAUGUUACGGUGAUGUCUGGAGAAGGGCAAUCGGGCAUGCGUUUGGACGAACGUGCCGCUGGGGUCAUCUCCGGCACGGACCCAUAUCGCGAGCUCGAACAAUACUUGGAAAAAGUUCAAGAGGAGAUCGGAGAGGCGUUCGAGAAAUGGCCGGAGCGAAAGUGGCACAAGAAGCGUACGAACGAGGGCUGGAAAGAGAACCUUCGUAAUGGACUGAUCACGUUGGCCCCUCUGCCACCGGUCGCGACGCCCCCGCUGUCCCAUCCCUUGCCGCCCCCGUCUGAGUCUCCCCCCGGCGGGCGCCUAACCCGCCACCGCCCCCACCGACCCGGGCCCCUCGAAGAACGCCGCUCCCGCAACUACGUGCUCAACCCCAAGAGCAACUCCCUCCCCUCCCGCAAGAAGCGACCUCCAGGCAACUACAUCAUCGACUUCGACCAAGAGGUGGAAGCGUGGUCGAACCUCCUUCUGGCGGACGUGCAGAGCAUUGUGGAGAAUGAGCUGAGGUCGGCGAUUUCGGCCGAGCGAGCGUCGAGCGAGUCCGAGCCGGACUAUGACGAGGUGUGCGUGACGUCCGACGAAGAGGUCGCCGUGGAGAUGCGCUACAAGUCGGAGCGGGCCUCGCCCUCACCCUCGGGCUCUCCCUCGCCGUCGGGGUCGCCCUCGCCCUCCAUGUCGCCCACGGUGUCGCCCUCCACCUCGGACAUCUCGACGAGCAGCUCCGGGAGCGGCGCCGGCGGGCGGAAGCAGGGGCGCCUCGUCCGCAACUGCCGCCCCCAGCUCCCGACCUGCCACAAGGACGACCCCGUCCUCACCAAGAUCACCACCCUCACCCACAGCCAAAGAACCAAGCCCAAGACCUCCCACACCGCCCGCGCCACCACCUACGCCGACCGCUCCAGAACGUUACCGCGCUCGUUGCCGAGUUUCCUGAGCAGCGGCGGGGUGGUAUCGGGGACGGGGACUGGCGGGGGGCGGGUGGUGGGCGACGCGGAGACGCAGACCUCGCCGACGGUGUCGCGGUCCUCGAGCUCGACGUGGCUCUCGGAGGACUGCUCGGAGCUCUCCUCGGCCUCGGCCUCCGCCGACGACUACUCCACCCUCAACUCCACCAACGCCGACCCCGAGGAACACGAGGAGUCCGGCAUCGGCACCGCCUCACCCACCCCGCACCCCCACACCCACUCACAUCUCCAGCCCCACCACCACCACCACCACCGCACCGCAUCAAGAACAAGUCACCCGUCGGGCAAAAAUGCCGUCGAAAAGAAACCUGGGAGCGUCUCCGGCGACGGGGCUCGGGGUUGA
Molecule: long non-coding RNA, 1952 nt
Filed under: Bemisia tabaci
Lineage: Eukaryota; Metazoa; Arthropoda; Insecta; Hemiptera; Aleyrodidae
Description: lncRNA ENSSSA2NGG011501
Source: RNAcentral